AGAACCUGGCGGCGUGCUGAGACAUGCAAGUCGUGGGAGAAUUUCGUAGCAAUACGGAUAGUAAACCGGCGCACGGGUGAGUAACACGUGGGCAACCUGCCUUGUAGCCUGGGAUAACCCGUCGAAAGACGGACUAAUACCAGAUAAGACCACGGGAAGGUCGCUUCCUGGGGUAAAAGAUGGCCUCUGCUCCUGCAAGCUAUUACUACGAGAUGGGCCCGCGUCCUAUCAGCUUGUUGGUGAGGUAAUGGCUCACCAAGGCGAAGACGGGUAGCUGGUCUGAGAGGAUGGUCAGCCACACUGGGACUGAGACACGGCCCAGAGUCCUACGGGAUGCAGCAGUCAGGAAUAUUGCGCAAUGGAGGAAACUCUGACGCAGCGACGCCGCGUGGGUGAUGAAGGCCUUCGGGUCGUAAAGCCCUGUCGGGAGGGAAGAAACGCCUCAUGGCUAAUAUCCAUGAAGUCUUUGACGGUACC
RNAcentral lists this ribosomal RNA (477 nucleotides) under uncultured bacterium. RNAcentral's name for it is "bacterial SSU rRNA". It matches the Rfam family "Bacterial small subunit ribosomal RNA", at positions 36 to 479 of the family's 1533-position model. The record is from RNAcentral.